CGAAGGACUCAAUAAGAAUGUAAAGUGUUUGCACACACACUUAAUUAUUAACGGUUUAUGAACUGUUAUAUUCAGAUUUGUAAUUGCUGAUUUUGCAAAUACCCAACAAAACAGGUUCUAACUGAAUGUAACUCUGAGACAUAAUUCACAUCUUUCCUAAAGGCCGACUUCGAAAGUGUCGUGGCUAUAAUUUAAACUCGUGGCUGCUUAAAAGCUCGUCUAGACCGAAGCUCAUCGCUUUGCUAUGACUGCCAUCCCAGCUUUUCUUUCCCGCGCACCCACAUGCAAUCCAUUUUUCAUGCCUGCUCUGUAUUGUAUUUCAGCUCGUUUUAUUCUGGUCCUCUGGAGAACAGGUGUGUUGUUUUUUUUUUCUUUUUGUACGAAAAAGCAAUGUGUGCUGCAGCCUGCUGAGCCCAGGCAGUUGGUUGGGUACAUCAUGUACUUGCUGGGAACCGAUGCCGUCUGUCGUCGAUGCCAGUAAUCGCUACCAACAGACAAUUAACUUCAGCAUGUCUUUCAAACUUCUCUGUGACUUAUUUUGUCUUUGCAAACUUCUCUUUCUGUAAAUAAUUAAGCCACUGAUGGAUUAAUUUCGUGUCCGUAGUGAAAACAGUGCCUAACAAAUCAUUCAACCCCAUUUAGGAUCAUAACAAACUUUCCCUGCAGUAUUUUAGUACCUGUAGUCUGGAGUCUUAGGAGCAUUCGUGAUGUUUGUUCCCGUGGUUGCAUCCUGGUGUGAGGCAAUGAAAUAAAAGCAUUUCAGCUCUUAAAAAUCAAACAUGUGGGCUUUAUACCUGCGAUUGAACAUCAAGCGGAAAGGUAUAAGGGAGCGUCGGCUCGCCUUUAUCUCUAAUGGGCCCCAAACUGCAGUGCUUAGACUGAAUAUGAAUGUUCUGCCGGUGAAUUAUUAAUGUUGUGGUGCGCUUCGUAUUCUGCCUGGCACUUCCAGAGGUGAUCCACCUCCCACGCGGAUUGGAAGCUGUCACCCGUAAUUGGAGAAAUCACGACAGCACGGAGUUAAGUGCUCCACAGUCCCCGGGUGAAGAAUCUGAUGGUGCACACUGCAGCACCAAGAGGUGGGAACAUUUUCCUAUAUAUUUUUUUUAUGGUGCAUUUUUUUUUCUCCUCCAUACCUCUGAAUAAUUCUCGUUCUCCAUCUCCAUCCAUCUUUUCAGGAUUUCAGAGUGUUUUUCAUUCUGCAGUAUUAGUUAACUUCCUGAAAAAAAUCGUAAUUUCCAAGGAUGUCAUUCUCAGCAAGCGGCAGCGAGGAAAUCUCGAGCUGAUGCUGAAGUCAGAUGGAGUGCUCACGGAUCAAGAUAAGCUGCAAUGACUUUCAUCACGACCUUUGACCUUGGCUACAACCUGCGCUUUCCGCUAAACAUAUUUCCUAAACCGUGUGAGGUGAACCGCAUCUGAUGAAAAACAUUGGCGGCGGCGCACAAGCCACCGCUCGUGACGACUCAGCGGCACAUUUUUCUGACAGAGUGACAACUCUGUGCAAAGUGUGUGGAUCUCCAGUCCCACGGUGCGCCCAGGGCGCCGUCAAACUGACAGCUCACAGCACAAAUGGACCCCUGUGGCCCAAAGAUGGAGGCAAAGUUGUUGCCACGGCAAAGAGUUUUGGUUGUCCGAUUGGUCCCCGCGAACAAAGGAGAUCUGUCAGCCUUCAUGACAGGGCCAAGAUUGCAGUGUUUUAUCC
Long non-coding RNA from Astatotilapia calliptera (eastern happy), 1699 nucleotides. NCBI's taxonomy places the organism in Eukaryota, Metazoa, Chordata, Actinopteri, Cichliformes, Cichlidae. The record is from Ensembl.